RNAcentral lists this non-coding RNA (187 nucleotides) under Bacillus sp. (in: firmicutes). RNAcentral's name for it is "Bacillus sp. Lysine sequence". It matches the Rfam family "Lysine riboswitch aptamer". Rfam says of the family: Riboswitches are metabolite binding domains within certain messenger RNAs that serve as precision sensors for their corresponding targets. Allosteric rearrangement of mRNA structure is mediated by ligand binding, and this results in modulation of gene expression. The record is from RNAcentral. RNAcentral also lists the same sequence under 1 other name. Lineage: Bacteria; Bacillati; Bacillota; Bacilli; Caryophanales; Bacillaceae.
GAGUGAGGUAGAGGCGCGAAAACCAUGAGUACCUCCCUGAGAUCGGGCAUCUGUGACGGGUACGGGAAAGGGGAAUUCGCCGAAGUACGGAGAAAGGCCCGCUUCCUCCGUGCUGGGCCUGCGUUGAACAAGCGCAGGACUGUCAUCCGCGCAAUCACCCGUUGCCGGAUGGAGAGCUAUCUCACGA